This is a long non-coding RNA of Acinonyx jubatus (cheetah), 2141 nucleotides long. RefSeq lists it as uncharacterized. Lineage: Eukaryota; Metazoa; Chordata; Mammalia; Carnivora; Felidae. The record is from RefSeq and is a predicted model, not a curated record. The transcript is spliced from 3 exons.
UGCUUUUCACUCAGCCUCGGAAAAACUGUAAAACUAUCGUGGAGUAUUUCCCGGUUUCUGUUUCUCAGUCUUUGGCUACAGUUUCCUUUUGUUCCUCUUGUCUUACCCUACCUGGCGGAAAUAUCCGGGGCUCCUGCGGGAGCUUCCUAGUCCCAGGGAAGAGAAUUAAUCAGGGCUUGAGAGUGACGAGGGAGAGAGGCUCAACGUCUGUCUUGCUUCUCGUUUCCUCCCCUCCUUUUCCUUCCUGUGCGGGAAACCAAAAAGACUUUACAAAACUCAGAUCCAAAACUCCGUGUGGUUUCUUCAAAGGUUGCGCUGGAAUCUUGAUGGAUGGUGAAAGAAAAAGCUGACAAAUAACCAAUGACAACGGCAAACAGCAAGUGACUGGUGCAGGGUCCCCUCAUCCAUCUUCUGAGCGCUGACUGAGGGCCUGCUGGGUGCCAGGCACUGAACUUGGCCCCUAAGGAAACAAGCUCUCUUGAGAGAGCUCCCCAAAUCGUCACUCUGGGGAGAUGGACAAGCGGACAGGCAAAUAAUUGAAAACGGAGAGGGUAACAGAUUGACUACAACCAAGCAUGAAGGACCUUUCUGGGAUAAUGAAAAAGUUCUAACACUGGAUUGUAGCAGCUGUUGUUGCAAAACUCUGUAAAUUUACUAAAAUUAAUUGAAUCGUCUGCUUAAAAUGGGCAAAUUUUAUGGUGGGAAUGUGUGAUAUUCCUCGGACACUUCUGGUUGCCCAAGAACAGAGGAAAAGGAAAGAAGCAAGAUGGCUGACUGAUAGAGGUCACAGUCAAGCAGGACAGGAGUCUCCUUCAGUCUACCAAUAACAGUCAACUGCAAGAAAAAGGCAAUCUUAUCCAAGCCUAAUCUCCAGAAACCUAUAGACUCCGUUUCCUGGAGCCCUAAUAUCACCCUCAUCGAGAUGUAAGGGGGUUUGGGGGCAUGUCUGGGUGGCUCCGUCGGUGAAGUUCUGACUUCGGCUCAGGUCAUGAUCUCGCAGUUUGGGGGUUCGAGCCCCACUUCGGGCUCUGUGCUGACAGCUCAGAGCCUGCAGCUUGCUGCAGAUUCUGUCUCUUCUUCUCUCUCUGUUCCUCCACCGCUCAUGUUCUGUCUCUCUCUCAAAAAUAAUUAAAAGAUUUAAAAAAAAUAAAUGUAAGGGGGUUUAAGUACUUGCCAUGGUGAUGUGAGAAACAAAGGCAAAAAGAAUUAAACUCCCUACUGCCUACAGCCCACUGACACGUCCUUGAAACGGGCAGAGUGACCUCCCUCUAGGAGCUCAGCUGCCUCGAUGAUGACACUUUGCUAGGGACUAAAGGGAAUCUUGGCUUAACAUUAUCCCAACCUCCAGGAUCCCGUAAGUCUACCUUAACAUAUAAAAAUUCCUUUCGAAACUUCCUUUAUCUCAACUCCCCCAAGAUAUAUGCUGGCAAUCCUACUCCAAGCGUAUGACCCCCUGAUAUACAUCUGAAGGGUCUCAUAACCGAGGUUUUACUAAACGGUAACGAAUGGCGUUUGCCUAACACAGCUAGCCCCUCAAGGUCCUGGAAACCUUGCUUCCAAAAUAUCUUAGAGACUUACUCUAUCCAUAACGCCCUCCCAACCUGAAGGUAUACAGUUAGUUACUCGGGUACGACCCCAGUGCAGCUCUUUCUGCCCAAGGGUCCUGUCCCCAUGCUUUAACAAAAUCACCUUUUUGCACCAAAGACGUCUUUAAGAAUUCUUUCUUGGCCAUCAGCUCCGAACCCCACCAUCAUCCCGAAACCCCAUCAGUGAUGAUAUCUAAUAGGGUUUGAUGAGAUAUAAAGUAGGCAUGUUGUCUUUGUCUGAUGGCAUCUCACCCAUUCCACUUAUGUCACUGACUGUGCCCUGCUCUCUCAGGCCACAGGGACACUCAGGCCUGGCUAAUCAAAUAGCACUGUUUCUUGAACACAGUGUUCAAGAAUACUUAAAUACUGUGUUAUACACAGAUCGGUAGGGCCAUUAACCCAAGCAGAGCCAUCAGACUUUUAUGAAGCUUGGUUUAUAGAGGCUGGGAAAGAAAGUCCCUCUUCCUCUGAGGUCAUAGACAGUAAGAGCAUAGACUUGGGGCUGUCCGUGGCCCUCUUUUUUUGUAGGCAAAGGCAGCUUGGAAAACAAGCCAG